GGUUAAGUGACUAAGCGUACAUGGUGGAUGCCUUGGCAGUCAGAGGCGAUGAAGGACGUACUAACCUGCGAUAAGCCGUGAGCAGUCGGUAAGAGACAUUACGACUCACGGAUUUCCGAAUGGGGAAACCCACUUAGCAUAAGCUAGGUAUCGCUACGUGAAUACAUAGCGUAGCGAGGCGAACCGGGAGAACUGAAACAUCUAAGUACCCCGAGGAAAAGAAAUCAACCGAGAUUCCCUCAGUAGCGGCGAGCGAACGGGGAUUAGCCCUUAAGCAUCUUGGAAGUUAGUGGAACGGUCCUGGAAAGGCCGGCGAUACAGGGUGAUAGCCCCGUACACGAAAACAACCUUGAUGUGAAAUCGAGUAGGGCGGGACACGUGACAUCCUGUCUGAAUAUGGGGGGACCAUCCUCCAAGGCUAAAUACUCCUGACUGACCGAUAGUGAACCAGUACCGUGAGGGAAAGGCGAAAAGAACCCCUGUGAGGGGAGUGAAAUAGAACCUGAAACCGUGUACGUACAAGCAGUGGGAGCCCUUCGGGGUGACUGCGUACCUUUUGUAUAAUGGGUCAGCGACUUACAUUUUGUAGCGAGGUUAACCGUAUAGGGGAGCCGUAGGGAAACCGAGUCUUAACUGGGCGUCUAGUUGCAAGGUGUAGACCCGAAACCGGGUGAUCUAGCCAUGGGCAGGUUGAAGGUUGAGUAACAUCAACUGGAGGACCGAACCCACUAACGUUGCAAAGUUAGGGGAUGACCUGUGGCUGGGGGUGAAAGGCCAAUCAAACUCGGAGAUAGCUGGUUCUCCCCGAAAGCUAUUUAGGUAGCGCCUCGGACGAAUACUAUUGGGGGUAGAGCACUGUUUGGGCUAGGGGGUCAUCCCGACUUACCAACCCCAUGCAAACUCCGAAUACCAGUAAGUAAUAUCCGGGAGACACACGGCGGGUGCUAACGUCCGUCGUGAAGAGGGAAACAACCCAGACCGCCGGCUAAGGUCCCAAAGUUCUGGUUAAGUGGGAAACGAUGUGGGAAGGCUCAGACAGCUAGGAUGUUGGCUUAGAAGCAGCCAUCAUUUAAAGAAAGCGUAAUAGCUCACUAGUCGAGUCGGCCUGCGCGGAAGAUGUAACGGGGCUCAAACCAGGCACCGAAGCCGCGGAUUCACACUAAGUGUGAGUGGUAGGGGAGCGUUCUGUAAGUCUGCGAAGGUGUGUCGAGAGGCAUGCUGGAGAUAUCAGAAGUGCGAAUGCUGACGUAAGUAACGAUAAAGGGGGUGAAAAGCCUCCUCGCCGGAAGACCAAGGGUUCCUGUCCAACGUUAAUCGGGGCAGGGUGAGUCGACCCCUAAGGCGAGGCCGAAAGGCGUAGUCGAUGGGAAGCAGGUUAAUAUUCCUGCACGACUUGUAAUUGCGAUGGGGGGACGGAGAAGGCUAGGUGGGCCAGGCGACGGUUGUCCUGGUGAAAGUGCGUAGGUGGUGUUUCUAGGCAAAUCCGGAGACACAACACUGAGACACGAGACGAACACACUACGGUGUGGAAGCCAUUGAUGCCCUGCUUCCAGGAAAAGCCUCUAAGCUUCAGAUUACAAGUCAUCGUACCCCAAACCGACACAGGUGGUCGGGUAGAGAAUACCAAGGCGCUUGAGAGAACUCGGGUGAAGGAACUAGGCAAAAUAGAACCGUAACUUCGGGAGAAGGUUCGCUCUUGACAGUGAAGUCCCUUGCGGAUGGAGCAGUUGGGAGUCGCAGUGACCAGAUGGCUGGGACUGUUUAUCAAAAACACAGCACUCUGCAAACACGAAAGUGGACGUAUAGGGUGUGACACCUGCCCGGUGCCGGAAGGUUAAUUGAUGGGGUUAGCGCAAGCGAAGCUCUUGAUCGAAGCCCCGGUAAACGGCGGCCGUAACUAUAACGGUCCUAAGGUAGCGAAAUUCCUUGUCGGGUAAGUUCCGACCUGCACGAAUGGUGUAACCAUGGCCAUGCUGUCUCCACCCGAGACUCAGUGAAAUCGAAUUCGCCGUGAAGAUGCGGUGUACCCGCGGCUAGACGGAAAGACCCCGUGAACCUUUACUACAGCUUGGCACUGAACAUUGAACCUACAUGUGUAGGAUAGGUGGGAGGCUUUGAAGGCGUGACGCCAGUUGCGCUGGAGCCGUCCUUGAAAUACCACCCUUGUAUGUUUGAUGUUCUAACGCAGGCCCGUGAAUCCGGGUCGCGGACAGUGCCUGGUGGGUAGUUUGACUGGGGCGGUCUCCUCCCAAAGAGUAACGGAGGAGCACGAAGGUUGGCUAAUCCUGGUCGGACAUCAGGAGGUUAGUGCAAUGGCAUAAGCCAGCUUAACUGCGAGACGGACAGGUCGAGCAGGUACGAAAGUAGGUCAUAGUGAUCCGGUGGUUCUGAAUGGAAGGGCCAUCGCUCAACGGAUAAAAGGUACUCCGGGGAUAACAGGCUGAUACCGCCCAAGAGUUCAUAUCGACGGCGGUGUUUGGCACCUCGAUGUCGGCUCAUCACAUCCUGGGGCUGAAGUCGGUCCCAAGGGUAUGGCUGUUCGCCAUUUAAAGUGGUACGCGAGCUGGGUUCAGAACGUCGUGAGACAGUUCGGUCCCUAUCUGCCGUGGGCGUUGGAUGAUUGAAGGGAGUUGCUCCUAGUACGAGAGGACCGGAGUGAACGAACCUCUGGUGUUCGGGUUGUCACGCCAGUGGCACUGCCCGGUAGCUAAGUUCGGAAUCGAUAACCGCUGAAAGCAUCUAAGCGGGAAGCGAGCCCUGAGAUGAGUCAUCCCUGACCCCUUGAGGGUCCUAAAGGGCCGUUGGAGACCACAACGUUGAUAGGUGGGGUGUGUAAGCGCGGCGACGUGUUGAGCUAACCCAUACUAAUUACCCGUGAGGCUUAACCAU
RNAcentral lists this ribosomal RNA (2889 nucleotides) under Aeromonas hydrophila. Its description in RNAcentral is "23S ribosomal RNA". It matches the Rfam family "Bacterial large subunit ribosomal RNA". The record is from RNAcentral. Lineage: Bacteria; Pseudomonadati; Pseudomonadota; Gammaproteobacteria; Aeromonadales; Aeromonadaceae.